RNAcentral lists this ribosomal RNA (484 nucleotides) under uncultured bacterium. Its description in RNAcentral is "partial 16S ribosomal RNA". It matches the Rfam family "Bacterial small subunit ribosomal RNA", at positions 30 to 507 of the family's 1533-position model. The record is from RNAcentral.
AUUGAACGCUGGCGGCAUGCUUUACACAUGCCAGUCGAGCGGCAGCACGGGGGCAACCCUGGUGGCGAGCGGCGAACGGGUGAGUAAUACAUCGGAACAUGCCCAGUCGUGGGGGAUAACACUUCGAAAGAAGUGCUAAUACCGCAUACGUCCUGAGGGGGAAAGCGGGGGAUCGCAAGACCUCGCGCGAUUGGAGUGGCCGAUGUCAGAUUAGCUAGUUGGUGGGGUAAAGGCCUACCAAGGCAACGAUCUGUAGCUGGUCUGAGAGGAUGAUCAGCCACACUGGGACUGAGACACGGCCCAGACUCCUACGGGAGGCAGCAGUGGGGAAUUUUGGACAAUGGGGGCAACCCUGAUCCAGCCAUUCCGCGUGAGUGAAGAAGGCCUUCGGGUUGUAAAGCUCUUUCGGCAGGAACGAAACGGUGAGCUCUAACAUAGCUUGCUAAUGACGGUACCUGAAGAAGAAGCACCGGCUAACUACGUG